AUUAUAUUACUCCCCAAACUGGAGGAAGUGAGGGUGAGUGGAGCAAAAAAGCUGAGACACGUGGUCACGAGCCACUCCCAAAUAGUUUUGGGUUUUCCUAGUCUUGAAACUGUCAGUGUUGAGAAUUGCUCUGACCUGAGAUAUCUCUUUCCCAAAUAUACGGCCACAACUUUGGAGAAACUUAGGUGGCUAAAAAUUACUAAAUGUGAACAGAUGAAGGAAGUGAUUCUCGAGAAAGAAGCUGGUCGAUCAGAGGCAGAAGUGAUGAGUUUUCCUUGCUUAAGUGAAUUAACACUUAAGGAACUCGAUAACCUGAUUAGUUUCGGUUCAGGAAGUGUCAGGAGGCAGUUAGGCCAGACAACCGAAGAAAAUGAUGAAUCGCCACGACCGCUAUUCAAUGAGAUGGUUCGUUCUAUUCUUUACUGUGAUCCUUUGUAUUCUCGCAUUAUCAUGUUUUAUAAUGAAGAAUGUAAUGAAUUUGUCCAACUUAUCCUCAUUUCUCACAUUAUCCUUGUGCAGGUCACAUUUCCCAAUAUGAGAAAUCUAAAAAUUGAAGGCGUUCCAUGCAAAGAGCUGUGGAGCAAUGAUGUUCCCGCCGAUUCCAUUGUUUGUUCCCACCGAUUCCUUUUAAAAAAAGUCGAGGUUAAAAACUGUCCAUCCUUGAAAUCAUUGUUUGGUUUUGGGUCCCUAGAUUCAAAGAUGGAACAAAACGCGGUAUUGCUCCCUGAAUUGAAAAGGAUCAAAGUUGAAAGCUGUCCCUCCCUGGAAUCGUUGUUUAAUUGUGGGUCCCUUGAUUCAAAUGCGGAGCACAAAAUUAUAUUGCUCCCCAAAUUGAAGGGAGUGAGGGUGAGUGGAGCAAAAAAGCUGAAACACGUGGUCAUGAGCCACUCCCAAAUAGUUUUGGGUUUUCCUAGUCUUGAAACUGUCAGUGUUGAGAAUUGCUCUGACCUGAGAUAUCUCUUUCCCAAAUAUACGGCCACAACUUUGGAGAAACUUGAGUUGCUAGAAAUUACUAAAUGUGAACAAAUGAAGGAAGUGAUUCUCGAGAAAGAGGCUGGUCGAUCAGAGGCAGAAGUGAUGAGUUUUCCUUGCUUAAGUGAAUUAACACUUAAGGAACUCGAUAACCUGAUUAGUUUCGGUUCAGGAAGUGUCAGGAGGCAGCUAGGCCAGACAGCCGAAGAAAAUGAUGAAUCACCACGACCGCUGUUCAAUGAGAUGGUUCGUUCUAUUCUUUACUAUGAUCCUUUGUAUUCUCGCAUUAUCAUGUUUUAUAAUGAAGAAUGUAAUGAAUUUGUCCAACUUAUCCUCCUUUCUCACAUUAUCCUUGUGCAGGUCACAUUUCCCAAUAUGAGAAAUAUAAAAAUUGAAGGCGUUCCAUGCAAAGAGCUGUGGAACAAUCAUGUUCUCGCCGAUUCCAGUGUUUGUUCCCACCAAUUCCUUUCAAAAAAUGUUGAGGUUAAAAACUGUCCAUCCUUGAAAUCAUUGUUUGGUUUUGGGUCCCUAGAUUCAAAGAUGGAACAAAACGCGGUAUUGCUCCCUGAAUUUGAAAGGAUCGACAUUGAAAGCUGUCCCUCCCUGGAAUCGUUGUUUACUUGUGGGUCCCUUGAUUCAAAUGCGGAGCACAAAAUUAUAUUGCUCCCCAAAUUGAAGGGAGUGAGGGUGAGUGGAGCAAAAAAGCUGAAACACGUGGUCAUGAGCCACUCCCAAAUAGUUUUGGGUUUUCCUAGUCUUGAAACUGUCAGUGUUGAGAAUUGCUCUAACCUGAGAUAUCUCUUCCCCAAAUAUACGGCCACAACUUUGGAGAAACUUGAGUUGCUAGAAAUUACUAAAUGCGAACAAAUGAAGGAAGUGAUUCUCGAGAAAGAGGCUGGUCGAUCAAAGGCAGAAGUGAUGAGUUUCCCUUGCUUAAGUGAAUUA
This 1917-nucleotide long non-coding RNA is filed under the name Eucalyptus grandis. RNAcentral describes it as "long non-coding RNA (EGRA_LNC004027)". Lineage: Eukaryota; Viridiplantae; Streptophyta; Magnoliopsida; Myrtales; Myrtaceae. The record is from RNAcentral.